RNAcentral lists this ribosomal RNA (398 nucleotides) under uncultured bacterium. RNAcentral's name for it is "bacterial SSU rRNA". It matches the Rfam family "Bacterial small subunit ribosomal RNA", at positions 28 to 409 of the family's 1533-position model. The record is from RNAcentral.
AACGAACGUUGGCGGCGUGGAUGAGGCAUGCAAGUCGCGCGUGAAAGUUCCUUCGGGAGCGAGUAAAGCGGCGGACGGGUGAGCAAGACGUACUCAAGCUGCCCACGAGACGGGGAUAACCGCGGGAAACCGUGGCUAAUACCCGAUGUUUCGCGGACACUGCAUGGUGUUCAUGGCAAACGGUGGGGACCCUUCGGGGCCUGCUGCUCGUGGAUGCGAUUACGGCCUAUCAGCUAGUUGGUGGGGUGAUGGCCUACCAAGGCGACGACGGGUAGCCGGCCUGAGAGGGUGGUCGGCCACACUGGGACUGAGACACUGCCCAGACUCCUACGGGAGGCUGCAGUCGAGAAUCUUCCGCAAUGGGCGAAAGCCUGACGGAGCGACGCCGCGUGUAGGAU